This 400-nucleotide unclassified non-coding RNA is filed under the name uncultured fungus. RNAcentral describes it as "sequence contains ITS1". The stretch from base 1 to 106 matches the Rfam family "5.8S ribosomal RNA", at positions 50 to 154 of the family's 154-position model. The record is from RNAcentral. Lineage: Eukaryota; Fungi.
AAAAUGCGAUACGUAAUGCGAAUUGCAGAAUUCAGUGAAUCAUCAAAUCUUUGAACGCAAAUUGCGCUCUCGGGAUAGGCCUGGGAGCACGCCUCUUUGAGUAUCGAUUCCACAACAACUCGAACGCGUGCGCUUAUGUGCACACGGACGGAAAUUGAGUGUUCUCGCUAAACACGAGACGCUUUAAUGGCAGCGAGUGGCACGAUCACGACUUGGACGCCGCAAAUCGCUAGUGACGAGGAUAACUUCACAUUCAGUUGUGGACCCUUCCAUCGUGACUUUGCUGGUGAGUGUGCAUUCAGCUCGGACGGUCAAUGUGCGCACGGCACUUCUCUGUUCUGAACAGCAGGGAAAAUUUUUUGAACUAGAUCUCAAAUGAAGCGAGAAAACCCGCUGAACU